AGAGUUUGAUCCUGGCUCAGAACGAACGCUGGCGGCGUGCCUAACACAUGCAAGUCGAACGCGAAAGGGGGCAACCCCCGGUAGCGUGGCAGACGGGUGAGUAACACGUGGGUAACCUGCCCCGAGGCGGGGAAUAACCUUCCGAAAGGAGGGCUAAUACCGCAUGACAUCCCGGAGGCUUCGGCCAUCGGGAUCAAAGCUGGCCUCUGUUUACAAGCUAGCGCCACGGGAGGGACCCGCGCCCCAUUAGCUAGUUGGUGAGGUAACGGCUCACCAAGGCGACGAUGGGUAGCCGGCCUGAGAGGGUGAUCGGCCACACUGGAACUGAGACACGGUCCAGACUCCUACGGGAGGCAGCAGUGAGGAAUCUUGCGCAAUGGGCGAAAGCCUGACGCAGCGACGCCGCGUGGAGGAUGAAGGUCUUCGGAUUGUAAACUCCUGUCGAGCGGGACGAAGGCGGUGAGCGUGAACAUCGCUCGCCGUUGACGGUACCGCUGGAGGAAGCCCCGGCUAACUCCGUGCCAGCAGCCGCGGUAAUACGGAGGGGGCCAGCGUUGUUCGGAAUCAUUGGGCGUAAAGGGCGCGUAGGCGGCCGAUCAAGUCCGACGUGAAACUCCCCGGCUCAACCGGGGGCGUGCGUCGGAUACUGCUCGGCUCGAGUCCCGGAGAGGGUAGUGGAAUUCCCAGUGUAGCGGUGAAAUGCGUAGAUACUGGGAGGAACACCGGUGGCGAAGGCGGCUACCUGGACGGGUACUGACGCUGAUGCGCGAGAGCUAGGGGAGCAAACAGGAUUAGAUACCCUGGUAGUCCUAGCUGUAAACGAUGAACACUAGAUAUUGCAGGAUUUGACCCCUGCAGUGUCGUAGCUAACGCGUUAAGUGUUCCGCCUGGGAAGUACGGUCGCAAGACUAAAACUCAAAGGAAUUGACGG
RNAcentral lists this ribosomal RNA (931 nucleotides) under uncultured bacterium. RNAcentral's name for it is "bacterial SSU rRNA". It matches the Rfam family "Bacterial small subunit ribosomal RNA", at positions 8 to 916 of the family's 1533-position model. The record is from RNAcentral.